GUACGGGAAAACAUGGUUUAUAUAUAAUGUUUGAGUUUUUAUUAGCUUUUAAUGAGCUUUCAAUAACUGAAAGUACUAUUAAGUUUUGAUUGUUUGUCUUCAUGUUAGAUUUUUUAGCUUUGUACCAAUUCAAUGAAUCAAAACAAUUUCUAACCGAUUUCACCACUUUGUUCCUCUUUUGUGCUGUUACACAACAGUCACAACAUUCUAUUUAUGCCUGUUCCAAGUCCGGAUGAAAUUUAGUUGUUGUUUGAUGCAGUCUGCCAUAUUUGAUUUAUUUUGGCAAAUCAUUUUACAUUUUGUCAUGUCAAGCCUUGAUGGCCUGACAGUUAUACAUUUUUUGUAGCUGACAGUAUGAGCUUUGUUCAUUGUUAAAGGUAUUAAGGUGUCCUAUAUAGAUGCUUAAAUCCAGUUCAUAUAAACAUUAG
RNAcentral lists this long non-coding RNA (428 nucleotides) under Mytilus galloprovincialis (Mediterranean mussel). Lineage: Eukaryota; Metazoa; Mollusca; Bivalvia; Mytilida; Mytilidae. The record is from RNAcentral.